RNAcentral lists this small nuclear RNA (280 nucleotides) under Oryctolagus cuniculus (rabbit). RNAcentral's name for it is "7SK RNA". It matches the Rfam family "7SK RNA". Rfam says of the family: 7SK was discovered as an abundant small nuclear RNA in the mid-70s but a possible function has only recently been suggested. Two independent studies have found that 7SK RNA binds the CDK9/cyclin T complex (known as elongation factor P-TEFb). Lineage: Eukaryota; Metazoa; Chordata; Mammalia; Lagomorpha; Leporidae. The record is from Rfam by way of RNAcentral.
GGAUGUGAGGGACAUCUGUCACCCCAUUGAUCUUCAGGGUUGAUUUAGCUGAUCUGGCUGGCUAGGCAGGUGUUCCCUGCCUCCCUCACUGCUCUGUGUUCAUCCCUCCCAAAGUUGUGUGCUCCAUCAAAGAGAAGGACUUUUCCCGCUAGAGGAGGACCAGUCAUUAGUCAAGGGUAUAAGACUAGCUGAGGGCCCUUGCUAAACCUUCAAGAAAACUCUCAUUCAUUUCUUUAUGUUAGCCUAACCCUGAUGCCAAAAUAACCUGAAAUAUAAAAAU